ACACUCCAGAGACCAGGCCAAGCAUGCCAGGGCGGGCAGCCGAGGUGCGCCAGGGCCCUGGUGCAGAGUCCCAGGGACAGGACAGGACAGGACAGGACAGGACAGGACAAGUGGGCAAGAACGCUGGCAGGCCGAAGCAGAGUCUGGUGGGCAACAACAGUUUGCUCACUGGAUUCCAGAGCCCUGCAGGAGGGAAAUGACAAGGGACUGAGGUGCCAGCCCAGAGCGGUGCUUUCCCUGUGCCCAUUCGGUCCAGUACAUCGCCCUGAACUGGGCAGCGCAGGUCCUGGGGUGCAGCCCAGCGAGAGCCGCAGACCAGCAUGGAGGCCUGCAGGAGCGCCGCCAACAAGAGACGCCAUCCUCCAGCACGGUGGCGGACUGGAAAGAGCUGGUGAUGAUGAGCAAAAAGGAACUGUUUGUCCUGGCGUAGUCUGAUGACAGCCGCCAUUCCACCUUGAAGUAACUCGUCCAGGCUCAGAAGAUAAGCUAGGCUGGAGCAGUGCACGGGAUGGGGUUGUGUCUAAGGGGAACUUCGAGUUGUUAAUGGACCAGCAAGUGAGACUUUUCCGCACAAAUUCCAAAGCGAGGGCCCUUGUGUGGUGACAGAGGAGGGGAUGACCCUGUUCAAAAUGCAGAGAUGCAGUUGUCUCCUUCAGAUCACUCCACAGGACGCUGACUGACCUUCAAGUGAUGAUCAAACUCUGUCCUUGUAUUCAAGUACCGGUGUUGCAAAUCCAAUACUGCCUAGCAAGGAAUUAUUAUUACUAUUCAGAGUGUUGUUGUACUUGAGAGAUAAAUAAAAAAUACAAAAUCAACCAGAUAUGUUAGUGAGAAUGAGAUCUGUAAUACAGGUGACUGAAAUUGAAACCUGAAGUGGUUUUUGGAGUAAAUCCUACAAUGUAAAUUUCAUUCAAAUAAAUACUUAAAUAUUUAUUAACGGGGGCAUUUCAAGGUAAAAUGAAAGCUUUUUACCAUCUGCUCUAAACAUUACACAUUUGAAAUUGAGGACAUGAUAUAUGCAAACUGGAUUUAAUUUUCAAAUUGUGUAACAUAUACAUUAACAGUAAAGCAGCCUAUUAAGUUUUAAAUAAUUUCUUUUCUGUGAGCAAAAAAGGAAAACUAAGAUAAUUGCAUGGUUGCCUGGCAACUCCACAUCAAGCAUUGUCAGUUUUUUCAUCAGCUUUGUAAACCCUUUUUUUUUAAGUGCAGCAGUGACUUCAGAACAAAUUUCAUGUCAAGAAAAUCCAUUAUACUUGUGCGGCAGUCUCUUCUUGAGAAGAGCUUUUCCAGAGGUAGUUAAUUAACUUUUUUGGCUUUUAUCUUUUUUUCACAAGUCACUUCAGAAAUAUGUAUUAUAUUUUCAUUUUAUGUGGUCUAUUUCCAAUUUCAGCUUGAGCUUCAAGAGAAAAGUAAAUUUGUGUUUGUGAUUAACAUGUUUAAAGAAUUAAAUGCUCUUUGUUUGAAUCUCAAACAAGAAUUUAGUGCUUAAUGAUUUCCAGAAAUCAAUUUAUGAUAAAAUAUAGCUGUAUUUUACUUGUAUUUACAACUCUUUUGUGUUUUAUUCUUGUUUUGUAACACCACUUCGUGUAUUUGAAUGAAAGCUCAAGAGAGAUUAAAAC
Molecule: long non-coding RNA, 1619 nt
Organism: Lepisosteus oculatus (spotted gar)
Lineage: Eukaryota; Metazoa; Chordata; Actinopteri; Semionotiformes; Lepisosteidae
Source: Ensembl